RNAcentral lists this ribosomal RNA (774 nucleotides) under uncultured Neocallimastigales. Its description in RNAcentral is "partial large subunit ribosomal RNA". It matches the Rfam family "Eukaryotic large subunit ribosomal RNA", at positions 23 to 631 of the family's 3401-position model. The record is from RNAcentral. Lineage: Eukaryota; Fungi; Neocallimastigomycota; Neocallimastigomycetes; Neocallimastigales.
AGAGAGAGACAUGCGCGCAUAUCAAUAAGCGGAGGAAAAGAAACUAACUAGGAUUCCCUCAGUAACGGCGAGUGAAGCGGGAAGAGCUCAAAUUUGAAAUCUUCAAGGUUCUACCUUGACGAAUUGUAGUUUAAAGAAGUGUUUUCUGUUGGAGUUUUGGUAAAAGUUCCUUGGAAUAGGACAUCAUAGAGGGUGAGAAUCCCGUAUUUGACCAUUAUUUCCAGCUUUGUGAUACACUUUCAAAGAGUCGGAUUGUUUGGGAAUGCAGUCCAAAAUGGGUGGUAAAUUUCAUCUAAAGCUAAAUAUUGGCGAGAGACCGAUAGCGAACAAGUACCGUGAGGGAAAGAUGAAAAGAACUUUGAAAAGAGAGUUAAACAGUACGUGAAAUUGUCAAAAGGGAAGCGUUUGACACCAGUGUUGUUUUCUCGAAAAUCAAUUAAAAAGAGUUAGAUUUUGUUGUGUAUUGACCUUAUCAGCUUUGCAUUCAUUUUCUUGUCUUUUUUAAUGCACUUUUCGUUUAACAAGUCAACAUCAAUUUCUUUUGUUGUAAAAGAGUCAUUGGAAGGUGGCUUUCUUUUCGGAGAAAGUGUUUAUAGCCUUUGACUCCUGCAAUCGGAGAGACUGAGGUCUGCAGCGUAGAUCCUUCGGGGUUAGAUACAUUUGUGCUAAGUUAUAGCCUUUUAUAGACAACUUGUUGACUAUGAUUAGUCAUUGUAGCUUACUCGCUUAUGCUAUUUUACCUACGCUUAGGAUGUUGAUGUGAUACUGCGAGCA